CAGAGAUUGAACCUGGGCCUCCGCGACCCUGUCCAGGAGCUCACCAGGAGUCACCGCCUUGCAACAAAAGACACUCCUGGCACCUGGGAAAUGACAAGUGUUUCAGGAGCCCCGUGGCAGGCACGAGGGGCCAAAACCAGAAUAUGAUUUCACGGGAGCAGAGCCAGCUUUGACCCAGACCUGCUGGCCCCAGAGUCCACUUCACAGCGUCCCCAUCCCCCUGCCGUCCAUUUCCCCUGACAGGAUGAACCUGAACCCCGGGAGACGCCAGGACGCUCAUGUGAGCCUUGCUGUUUGGACUGGUGCCUUCCCAAGACUCUGCCCGUGCCCACGAGGGGCGGGAGAAACUGAGCAAGUUCCAGGUACAUCAUCUGACCAGGACCUUAAAGCGGCUCAUAAAAAUAUUGCCAUGUGUAGCACAUGGGGUUGACAUGCUGGAUGGUGAAGAGGAGGAAACGACGUAAGGUGGACUCGGGAGGCCCUCGGGAUCCAGAACCGCCUCCCCCCACCCCCUCCACCCGCUCCCUGCUGCCCCCGCUCCAGUGGCCACGAAUUGGAUCAUACGCGUGAGGCUGCGUGUGCUUGGUGGUGUAGGAGGCAGUGACCUUCACCAAGGAGGAGCUGGGGCUGCUGGACCCCACGCAGAGGAGGCUGUAU
Phacochoerus africanus (Common warthog) is the source of this 657-nucleotide long non-coding RNA. RefSeq lists it as uncharacterized. The transcript is spliced from 4 exons. The record is from RefSeq and is a predicted model, not a curated record. NCBI's taxonomy places the organism in Eukaryota, Metazoa, Chordata, Mammalia, Artiodactyla, Suidae.